CUGUCCGAGUUGUAAUCUGGAGAAGCGUUUUCUGUGUUAGACCGUGUACAAGUCUCCUGGAACGGAGCGUCAUAGAGGGUGAGAAUCCCGUCCAUGACACGGACUGCUAAUACUUUGUGAUACGCUCUCGAAGAGUCGAGUUGUUUGGGAAUGCAGCUCAAAAUGGGUGGUAAAUUCCAUCUAAAGCUAAAUACAGGCGAGAGACCGAUAGCGAACAAGUACCGUGAGGGAAAGAUGAAAAGCACUUUGGAAAGAGAGUUAAACAGUACGUGAAAUUGUUGAAAGGGAAACGCUUGAAGUCAGUCGCGUUGUGCAGAACUCAGCCUUGCCUCGGUUUGGUGUACUUUCUGCACAACGGGUCAACAUCAAUUUUGGCCCAUGGAGAAAGGUGGAGGGAAUGUAGCGCUGUUUCGGCAGCGUGUUAUAGCCCUCUACUGUAUACAUGGGCUGGGAUUGAGGAACGCAGCACGCCCUUGUGGCCGGGGGUUCGCCCCACGUACCGUGCUUAGGAUGUUGGCAGAAUGGCUUUAAGCGACCCGUCUUGAAACACGGACCAAGGAGUCUAACAUGCUUGCGAGUGUUCGGGUGGAAAACCCUUGUGCGUAAUGAAAGUGAAAGUUGGGAACCUCCGCAAGGGGGUGCACCGACGCCCGGCCCUGACGUUCUCUGACGGUGCUGCGGUAGAGCAAGUAUGCUGGGACCCGAAAGAUGGUGAACUAUGCCUGAAUAGGGCGAAGCCAGAGGAAACUCUGGUGGAGGCUCGUAGCGAUUCUGACGUGCAAAUCGAUCGUCAAA
This 795-nucleotide ribosomal RNA is filed under the name Fomitiporia neotropica. RNAcentral's name for it is "eukaryotic LSU rRNA". It matches the Rfam family "Eukaryotic large subunit ribosomal RNA", at positions 134 to 909 of the family's 3401-position model. Lineage: Eukaryota; Fungi; Basidiomycota; Agaricomycetes; Hymenochaetales; Hymenochaetaceae. The record is from RNAcentral.